AGGCUACGACAUCUGGACGUGUGA
Molecule: non-coding RNA, 24 nt
Filed under: Arabidopsis thaliana (thale cress)
Lineage: Eukaryota; Viridiplantae; Streptophyta; Magnoliopsida; Brassicales; Brassicaceae
Source: RNAcentral